RNAcentral lists this transfer RNA (73 nucleotides) under Ovis aries (sheep). It matches the Rfam family "tRNA". From Rfam's summary of the family: Transfer RNA (tRNA) molecules are approximately 80 nucleotides in length. Their secondary structure includes four short double-helical elements and three loops (D, anti-codon, and T loops). Lineage: Eukaryota; Metazoa; Chordata; Mammalia; Artiodactyla; Bovidae. The record is from Rfam by way of RNAcentral.
UCCCUGAUGGCCCAGUGGUUAGGGUGCUGGGCUUCCACUGCAGGAGACAUGGGUUCGAUCCCUAGUCAGGGAG